Molecule: ribosomal RNA, 748 nt
Filed under: uncultured bacterium
Lineage: Bacteria
Description: bacterial SSU rRNA
Rfam family: Bacterial small subunit ribosomal RNA
Source: RNAcentral
AGAAGCUUGCUUCUUUUUGAAUCUAGUGGCAAACGGGUGAGUAACACGUAAACAACCUGCCUUCAGGAUGGGGACAACAGACGGAAACGACUGCUAAUACCGAAUGUGUUCCGGAGACCGCAUGAUUUCCGGAAGAAAGGAUGGCCUCUAUUUAUAAGCUAUCGCCUGAAGAGGGGUUUGCGUCUGAUUAGGCAGUUGGUGAGGUAACGGCCCACCAAACCUACGAUCAGUAGCCGGUCUGAGAGGAUGAACGGCCACACUGGAACUGAGACACGGUCCAGACUCCUACGGGAGGCAGCAGUGGGGAAUCUUCCGCAAUGGACGAAAGUCUGACGGAGCAACGCCGCGUGAGUGAUGACGGCCUUCGGGUUGUAAAGCUCUGUGAUCGGGGACGAAUGGCUGGUAUGCUAAUACCAUAUCAGAGUGACGGUACCCGAAUAGCAAGCCACGGCUAACUACGUGCCAGCAGCCGCGGUAAUACGUAGGUGGCAAGCGUUGUCCGGAAUUAUUGGGCGUAAAGCGCGCGCAGGCGGCUUCUUAAGUCCAUCUUAAAAGUGCGGGGCUUAACCCCGUGAUGGGAUGGAAACUGGGAGGCUGGAGUAUCGGAGAGGAAAGUGGAAUUCCUAGUGUAGCGGUGAAAUGCGUAGAGAUUAGGAAGAACACCGGUGGCGAAGGCGACUUUCUGGACGACAACUGACGCUGAGGCGCGAAAGCGUGGGGAGCAAACAGGAUUAGAUACCCUGGUAGU